RNAcentral lists this ribosomal RNA (501 nucleotides) under uncultured bacterium. Its description in RNAcentral is "partial 16S ribosomal RNA". It matches the Rfam family "Bacterial small subunit ribosomal RNA", at positions 30 to 523 of the family's 1533-position model. The record is from RNAcentral.
AUUGAACGCUGGCGGCAUGCCUUACACAUGCAAGUCGAACGGCAGCACGGGUGCUUGCACCUGGUGGCGAGUGGCGAACGGGUGAGUAAUACAUCGGAACGUACCUUAUCGUGGGGGAUAACGCAGCGAAAGUUGCGCUAAUACCGCAUACGCCCUGAGGGGGAAAGCGGGGGACCGUAAGGCCUCGCGCGAUUAGAGCGGCCGAUGUCUGAUUAGCUUGUUGGUGAGGUAAAAGCUCACCAAGGCGAUGAUCAGUAGCUGGUCUGAGAGGACGAUCAGGCACACUGGGACUGAGACACGGCCCAGACUCCUACGGGAGGCAGAAGUGGGGAAUGUUGGACAAUGGGGGCAACCCUGAUCCAGCAAUGCCGCGUGGGUGAAGAAGGCCUUCGGGUUGUAAAGCUCUUUUGUCAGGGAAGAAACAGCAGCUCUAACACAGUCUGCGAAUGACGGUACCUGAAGAAUAAGCACCGGCUAACUACGUGCCAGCCGCCGCGGUAA